Molecule: long non-coding RNA, 739 nt
Filed under: Helianthus annuus (common sunflower)
Lineage: Eukaryota; Viridiplantae; Streptophyta; Magnoliopsida; Asterales; Asteraceae
Description: hypothetical non coding rna
Source: RNAcentral
GAAGCGAUCUGCAAGAUGAUACUCAAAUACAAGAACCAAUAGAUAUAAAUGAUUCCAUAGAUUAACAUAAACACCUCGCCUGGCCCUUUAGUAACAACGGAACUACAUAUAAAGAUAGCUACUGAAGCAAUCAAAGCGUAGGCGAAUAACGAUAGGUACAUACAAAGGAGAGUAAGUGUGAGUCGCUUCCAAACCUUUGGUACAACUUUCAUGGACUUAGUGUAGGUGACUUCACGCCCAGUGUAAUCCGAUGCUAUCGUGUAGACGAUGCAUGCGGUGGAUAGAACACAUAAGAUGGUGAUGAUGGCCAGAGUGAUGAAUUUGAAGAGGAAGUAGCUGCGCCAGUCGUCUGCGGUGGUAUUUUGGUUGUAAUAUGAUUUGUAACUGUCGAAUGCGCCUAGGAACAGUUGGAAUGGGUUGGGUUCGAUUUGAUCAUAGAAGAAGUAUGAGAAUUGCAUGUGAGCAAUGAAGAUGAGUGUGAGAGGGAGGAUUAGAGAGUGAGAGAUGAUGCUUGAGAAUCCCAUGAACUUCAUCUCUUCCAUUCUUUGAUCCAUGUGGAGUGAAUUUGAAUGUGAAUGUGAAUGUGAAGAAGAUAGAUGAUAGAUGAUAGAUGAUAGAAUUGGAUUGUAGCUAUAUAUAACCAAAUGUUGGAAAAGUGGACUUGGUUGAAAUUUGUUGAAUAAAUUAACCAUGGUUGGGUGUAUUUCAUUAUUGAUUUAUUUCUAACUUUUUUUUUAUU